UACAGAGGAGCCAAGCGUUGUCCGGAUUGACUGGGCGUAAAGCGCACGCAGGCGGAUGCGCGCGUGGGGUGUGAAAUCUGGCCGCUUAACGGCCAGGCGCCAUCCCAUACGGCGCGUCUGGAGUGAUGCAGAGGUCGAUGGAAUUGCCGGUGUAGUGGUGAAAUGCGCAGAUAUCAGGAGGAACACCGACGGCGAAGGCAGCACUCUGGGCCGGUACUGACGCUGAGGAGCGAAAGCAUGGGGAGCGAACAGG
RNAcentral lists this ribosomal RNA (253 nucleotides) under uncultured bacterium. RNAcentral's name for it is "partial 16S ribosomal RNA". It matches the Rfam family "Bacterial small subunit ribosomal RNA", at positions 524 to 776 of the family's 1533-position model. The record is from RNAcentral.